UAGCUCAGUUGGUAGAGCAGAGGACUGAAAAUCCUCGUGUCACUGGUUCGAUUCCGG
RNAcentral lists this transfer RNA (57 nucleotides) under Eubacterium sp. 38_16. RNAcentral describes it as "tRNA-Phe". It matches the Rfam family "tRNA", at positions 8 to 62 of the family's 71-position model. Rfam says of the family: Transfer RNA (tRNA) molecules are approximately 80 nucleotides in length. The record is from RNAcentral. Lineage: Bacteria; Bacillati; Bacillota; Clostridia; Eubacteriales; Eubacteriaceae.